This 65-nucleotide non-coding RNA is filed under the name Sphaerochaeta pleomorpha str. Grapes. RNAcentral describes it as "Spirochaeta sp. Grapes Fluoride riboswitch aptamer (crcB RNA motif)". It matches the Rfam family "Fluoride riboswitch aptamer (crcB RNA motif)". The record is from Rfam by way of RNAcentral. Lineage: Bacteria; Pseudomonadati; Spirochaetota; Spirochaetia; Spirochaetales; Sphaerochaetaceae. RNAcentral also lists the same sequence under 1 other name.
AUAGUCACUGGUGGUGGAGUUCGCCGUUAACCGCUGUUGUCACAGCCAAUGACUCCUGUAUAAGA